RNAcentral lists this ribosomal RNA (459 nucleotides) under uncultured bacterium. RNAcentral's name for it is "bacterial SSU rRNA". It matches the Rfam family "Bacterial small subunit ribosomal RNA", at positions 349 to 793 of the family's 1533-position model. The record is from RNAcentral.
CAGCAGUGGGGGAAUAUUGCACAAUGGGCGCAAGCCUGAUGCAGCCAUGCCGCGUGUGUGAAGAAGGCCUUCGGGUUGUUAAAGCACUUUCAGUCGUGAGGAAGGUGGUGUAGUUAAUAGCUGCAUCAUUUGACGUUAGCGACAGAAGAAAGCACCGGCUAACUCCGUGCCAGCAGCCGCGGUAAUACGGAGGGUGCGAGCGUUAAUCGGAAUUACUGGGCGUAAAGCGCAUGCAGGUGGUUUGUUAAGUCAGAUGUGAAAGCCCGGGGCUCAACCUCGGAAUAGCAUUUGAAACUAGGCAGACUAGAGUACUGUAGAGGGGGGUAGGAAUUUCAGGUGUAGCGGUGAAAUAGCGUAGAGAUCUGAAGGAAUACCGGUGGCGAAGGCGGCCCCCUCGGACAGAUACUGACACUCAGAUGCGAAAGCGUGGGGAGCAAACAGGAUUAGAUACCCUGGUAG